GCAAGUCGAGCGAACAGAAGGGAGCUUGCUCCCGGAUGUUAGCGGCGGACGGGUGAGUAACACGUGGGUAACCUGCCUGUAAGACUGGGAUAACUCCGGGAAACCGGAGCUAAUACCGGAUAGUUCCUUGAACCGCAUGGUUCAAGGAUGAAAGACGGUUUCGGCUGUCACUUACAGAUGGACCCGCGGCGCAUUAGCUAGUUGGUGGGGUAAUGGCUCACCAAGGCGACGAUGCGUAGCCGACCUGAGAGGGUGAUCGGCCACACUGGGACUGAGACACGGCCCAGACUCCUACGGGAGGCAGCAGUAGGGAAUCUUCCGCAAUGGACGAAAGUCUGACGGAGCAACGCCGCGUGAGUGAUGAAGGUUUUCGGAUCGUAAAGCUCUGUUGUUAGGGAAGAACAAGUGCGAGAGUAACUGCUCGCACCUUGACGGUACCUAACCAGAAAGCCACGGCUAACUACGUGCCAGCAGCCGCGGUAAUACGUAGGUGGCAAGCGUUGUCCGGAAUUAUUGGGCGUAAAGGGCUCGCAGGCGGUUUCUUAAGUCUGAUGUGAAAGCCCCCGGCUCAACCGGGGAGGGUCAUUGGAAACUGGGAAACUUGAGUGCAGAAGAGGAGAGUGGAAUUCCACGUGUAGCGGUGAAAUGCGUAGAGAUGUGGAGGAACACCAGUGGCGAAGGCGACUCUCUGGUCUGUAACUGACGCUGAGGAGCGAAAGCGUGGGGAGCGAACAGGAUUAGAUACCCUGGUAGUCCACGCCGUAAACGAUGAGUGCUAAGUGUUAGGGGGUUUCCGCCCCUUAGUGCUGCAGCUAACGCAUUAAGCACUCCGCCUGGGGAGUACGGUCGCAAGACUGAAACUCAAAGGAAUUGACGGGGGCCCGCACAAGCGGUGGAGCAUGUGGUUUAAUUCGAAGCAACGCGAAGAACCUUACCAGGUCUUGACAUCCUCUGACAACCCUAGAGAUAGGGCUUUCCCUUCGGGGACAGAGUGACAGGUGGUGCAUGGUUGUCGUCAGCUCGUGUCGUGAGAUGUUGGGUUAAGUCCCGCAACGAGCGCAACCCUUGAUCUUAGUUGCCAGCAUUUAGUUGGG
This 1094-nucleotide ribosomal RNA is filed under the name Bacillus sp. (in: firmicutes). RNAcentral describes it as "bacterial SSU rRNA". It matches the Rfam family "Bacterial small subunit ribosomal RNA", at positions 57 to 1135 of the family's 1533-position model. The record is from RNAcentral. Lineage: Bacteria; Bacillati; Bacillota; Bacilli; Caryophanales; Bacillaceae.